RNAcentral lists this ribosomal RNA (220 nucleotides) under uncultured bacterium. Its description in RNAcentral is "partial 16S ribosomal RNA". It matches the Rfam family "Bacterial small subunit ribosomal RNA", at positions 116 to 334 of the family's 1533-position model. The record is from RNAcentral.
CGUGAGCAACCUACCGAACUGUGGGGGGAGUAGCCGGCCUAACGGCCGAGUAAUACCGCAUACGCUUUCAUUGAGGCAUUUCAGUGAAAGGAAACCUACGGGACAGAUCGAGGGGCUCGCGGCCUAUCAGCUAGUUGGCGAGGUAACGGCUCACCAAGGCAACGACGGGUAGCUGGUCUGAGAGGAUGGCCAGCCACAUUGGGACUGAGAUAUGGCCCAG